RNAcentral lists this ribosomal RNA (450 nucleotides) under uncultured bacterium. Its description in RNAcentral is "partial 16S ribosomal RNA". It matches the Rfam family "Bacterial small subunit ribosomal RNA", at positions 354 to 796 of the family's 1533-position model. The record is from RNAcentral.
GUGGGGAAUUUUGGACAAUGGGCGCAAGCCUGAUCCAGCAAUGCCGCGUGCAGGAAGAAGGCCUUCGGGUUGUAAACUGCUUUUGUCAGGGAAGAAAUCUUCUGGGCUAAUACCCCGGGAGGAUGACGGUACCUGAAGAAUAAGCACCGGCUAACUUCGUGCCAGCAGCCGCGGUAAUACGAAGGGUGCAAGCGUUAAUCGGAAUUACUGGGCGUAAAGCGUGCGCAGGCGGUUUUGUAAGACAGGCGUGAAAUCCCCGGGCUCAACCUGGGAAUUGCGCUGGUGACUGCACGGCUGGAGUGCGGCAGAGGGGGAUGGAAUUCCGCGUGUAGCAGUGAAAUGCGUAGAUAUGCGGAGGAACACCGAUGGCGAAGGCAAUCCCCUGGGCCUGCACUGACGCUCAUGCACGAAAGCGUGGGGAGCAAACAGGAUUAGAAACCCGGGUAGUCC